CUCCUGCUCUAUCCAUCGCACCUGCGGCUCCAUCCUCGGUGUGACGGCGUCGCUGUCGAAGCGCACGAACUGCGUGUCAUCCACGUAGCCCACGGAGAUGAAGCGGGGCUCCCCUCGGCCGGGCGCGGACAUGGCGGUGCGGAAAUACAUCAGGGAGUGGGAGCCUGGGGGCGGGAGCCGCUGAGACCCCGCGACCCCCUCCUCCUGGCGCCUGAGCCCCGGGUUGAAGACGCCAGGAGGAGAAGAGAGGCCUCAAGAGACCCUAAGGAGGCUCUUUCUUUCCUGAUCCUGCACUCACCCACUGAGGUCUCCGUCAGGGCCAGGGCCCCUGAGAGCAGCAGGAGCAGUGUUCUGGGUGCCACCACCCGCAUCCUGCAGCUCUGUGGAGAUUCUGGAACUUGGCAGUUUUUUCAGUUCCCCCCAAAUUACAUUUGAAUUGCCACAAAAUGAAUGAAAACAGACUCAUGUCAAGAAACACUGCAAUGAAAUUUCAGAAAAUACGAAGAAGAGACCCUGAAUAUUUCAAGAGGCAGGAUAUAGCUGCAAUAUGGUUGAUGCAGGAAUGAGUGAUCUAAAGAGAGUGAAAGGUGAUGAUGCAGGGGAGGGAGGGAUCAUCUGUGGGAAACCAUCUUCAUGUGACUGAGUUUCCUCCUGGACUGGGUGCUGAGGCAUCCAGUCGCAGAAAUGUGGUACGACUUUCCCCACCCUUCUUGGGUUCGAGAACGUGUCCGUGUAGAGGCAUGUCUCACCACUAUUCAAAGGACCCAAUCACCUCAUCUGACCUUGCAACAAUGUGCCCCAUGUUCCUCAUUGGAUGGGAUUUUCCCCAGAAUUUUUAGUUCCCCAAUAAAAGCCCACUCCAUAGUGUGCUCCUGCUCUCUCACUAGCCUCUUCAGUGAAACCUCACUUCCCCCCUGGGGAGCUUGAGGCUAAGAGCUCCGGGAGCCAGCCUGGAGCUGGUUUAAAGGUAAAA
Molecule: long non-coding RNA, 973 nt
Organism: Marmota flaviventris (yellow-bellied marmot)
Lineage: Eukaryota; Metazoa; Chordata; Mammalia; Rodentia; Sciuridae
Source: RefSeq, a predicted model, not a curated record